AUAUAUAUAUAUAUAUAUAUAUAUAUAUAUAUAUAUAUAUAUAGCUUUUCCAUCUAGUUUUUAUUUGCUUCGAUGUAGAUGGCUUUAAUUUUGUAUCUGGAUCAGGAACCUCAUCUCUCAUCAACCUCGCUAAUUUCCAGCAUUUUUACAAAUACCGAGCCCUAGGUUGGGCUUUUAUCUUUUUUUCCUUCUAUUUUUGUUCUUUGUAUUUAGACUAAUUUUUUUUAGUAUUUAGUUUGUGCCCUAGUUGUUAACUUAGAUUUGCUCAAUUUUCAUUACUAAUUUCUCAUACUAUAUGUACCAACCUAGCUACCAUGUAAGUAGCAGUUUGUUAUGUGGUUGUAAUGGACUAUUAGGCAUUAUCAAAGUUUCUCUGUUUAAUUUAGUGAUUUCGGUGUUGGAACACUGCUAUUUACCCAAAGAAGGAUGCUUUACUUUAUAAUUCUGAUAAAAAUUUUGCUUUCUUUGAGCAAUUGAUGAUGAUUGGUAGGCCUUAUUGGGAUGAUACCGGUAGAAUGCCGGUAGAAUGACAGUCUUUCAUUUCACUUUCAGUAAAAUUAGCAUUUACUAAUUUCUUUCACCUUUAGUGAUAUCUGUUGUUGUCUAUCAAUAUCUCUCUUUCUUUUACCCUGUAUCUCUCUCUUCCUCUUCUUUUAUAUCUUCUUCAGGUAUUGCAUUUCUUUUCUUUUAUCAGGAUUAAGGGAUAAUCAAGUGGAGAACAUGGAAAAGAAACACUCAGCUUGAUUAACAGGUGAGCAAUGAAGCUUUGGGUCAGAUUUUAUCCUUGAAUUUCUGUUUGAUUUGUUGCUAAAUGCAGUGAAGUUUGCGUAUUUUAGUUUCAUAUUAGC
Molecule: long non-coding RNA, 848 nt
Filed under: Nicotiana tabacum (common tobacco)
Lineage: Eukaryota; Viridiplantae; Streptophyta; Magnoliopsida; Solanales; Solanaceae
Description: long non-coding RNA (NTAB_LNC014584)
Source: RNAcentral